UUGGAGGGCAAGUCUGGUGCCAGCAGCCGCGGUAAUUCCAGCUCCAAUAGCGUAUAUUAAAGUUGUUGCAGUUAAAAAGCUCGUAGUUGAAUUUCGAGAUCAAUUUGUUGGUCGUGCCUCGGUACGUACUGGCAAUUUUGAUUUCUCCCUUCUGAAGAACCAUGAUGUCAUUAAUUUGGUGUCAUGGGGAAUCAGGACCGUUACUUUGAAAAAAUUAGAGUGUUUAAAGCAGGCUCGCGCUUGAAUACAUUAGCAUGGAAUAAUGAAAUAGGACGUUUGAUUCUAUUUUGUUGGUUUCUAGGAUCGACGUAAUGAUUAAUAGGGAUAGUUGGGGGCAUUAGUAUUCAAUUGUCAGAGGUGAAAUUCUUGGAUUUAUUGAAGACUAACUACUGCGAAAGCAUUUGCCAAGGAUGUUUUCAUUAAUCAAGAACGAAAGUUAGGGGAUCGAAGACGAUCAGAUACCGUCGUAGUCUUAACCAUAAACUAUGCCGACUAGGGAUCGGAUGAUGUUAAUUUUUUAAUGACUCAUUCGGCGCCUUACGGGAAAC
RNAcentral lists this ribosomal RNA (548 nucleotides) under uncultured Glomus. RNAcentral describes it as "SSU rRNA". It matches the Rfam family "Eukaryotic small subunit ribosomal RNA", at positions 548 to 1098 of the family's 1831-position model. The record is from RNAcentral. Lineage: Eukaryota; Fungi; Glomeromycota; Glomeromycetes; Glomerales; Glomeraceae.